AGUGAACGCUGGCGGUAGGCCUAACACAUGCAAGUCGAACGGCAGCACAGUAAGAGCUUGCUCUUACGGGUGGCGAGUGGCGGACGGGUGAGGAAUACAUCGGAAUCUACUUUUUCGUGGGGGAUAGCGUAGGGAAACUUACGCUAAUACCGCAUACGACCUACGGGUGAAAGCAGGGGAUCUUCGGACCUUGCGCGAUUGAAUGAGCCGAUGUCGGAUUAGCUAGUUGGCGGGGUAAAGGCCCACCAAGGCGACGAUCCGUAGCUGGUCUGAGAGGAUGAUCAGCCACACUGGAACUGAGACACGGUCCAGACUCCUACGGGAGGCAGCAGUGGGGAAUAUUGGACAAUGGGCGCAAGCCUGAUCCAGCCAUACCGCGUGGGUGAAGAAGGCCUUCGGGUUGUAAAGCCCUUUUGUUGGGAAAGAAAAGCAGCAGGUUAAUACCCCGCUAUUCUGACGGUACCCAAAGAAUAAGCACCGGCUAACUUCGUG
RNAcentral lists this ribosomal RNA (492 nucleotides) under uncultured bacterium. RNAcentral's name for it is "partial 16S ribosomal RNA". It matches the Rfam family "Bacterial small subunit ribosomal RNA", at positions 29 to 507 of the family's 1533-position model. The record is from RNAcentral.